This 465-nucleotide ribosomal RNA is filed under the name uncultured bacterium. RNAcentral's name for it is "partial 16S ribosomal RNA". It matches the Rfam family "Bacterial small subunit ribosomal RNA", at positions 339 to 795 of the family's 1533-position model. The record is from RNAcentral.
CUACGGGGCGCAGCAGUGAGGAAUAUUGCGCAAUGGGGGAAACCCUGACGCAGCGACGCCGCGUGGAUGAUGAAGGCCUUAGGGUCGUAAAAUCCUGUCAGGUGGGAAGAAGUGGAUAUAGAUUAAUACUCUAUUUCUUUGACGGUACCACCAAAGGAAGCACCGGCUAACUCCGUGCCAGCAGCCGCAGUAAUACGGAGGGUGCAAACGUUGUUCGGAAUUACUGGGCGUAAAGCGCGCGUAGGCGGUUUGUUAAGUCAGAUGUGAAAGUCCAUGGCUCAACUAGGGAAGUGCAUUUGAAACUGGCAGACUUGAGUACUGGAGGGGGUGAUGGAAUUCCCGGUGUAGAGGUGAAAUUCGUAGAUAUCGGGAGGAAUACCGGUGGCGAAGGCGAUCACCUGGCCAGAUACUGACGCUGAGGUGCGAAAGCGUGGGGAGCAAACAGGAUUAGAUACCCUCGUAGUC